AUGCACGCUGGCGGCGUGCCUCAUCCAUGCAAGUCGAGCGAACGGACGAGAAGCUUGCUUUUCUGAUGUUAGCGGCGGACGGGUGAGUAACACGUGGAUAACCUACCUAUAAGACUGGGAUAACUUCGGGAAACCGGAGCUAAUACCGGAUAAUAUUUUGAACCGCAUGGUUCAAAAGUGAAAGACGGUCUUGCUGUCACUUAUAGAUGGAUCCGCGCUGCAUUAGCUAGUUGGUAAGGUAACGGCUUACCAAGGCAACGAUGCAUAGCCGACCUGAGAGGGUGAUCGGCCACACUGGAACUGAGACACGGUCCAGACUCCUACGGGAGGCAGCAGUAGGGAAUCUUCCGCAAUGGGCGAAAGCCUGACGGAGCAACGCCGCGUGAGUGAUGAAGGUCUUCGGAUCGUAAAACUCUGUUAUUAGGGAAGAACAUAUGUGUAAGUAACUGUGCACAUCUUGACGGUACCUAAUCAGAAAGCCACGGCUAACUACGUG
RNAcentral lists this ribosomal RNA (496 nucleotides) under uncultured bacterium. RNAcentral describes it as "partial 16S ribosomal RNA". It matches the Rfam family "Bacterial small subunit ribosomal RNA", at positions 29 to 507 of the family's 1533-position model. The record is from RNAcentral.